GGAGAUGUAGCUCAGUGGUAGAUCGUAAGUGAUAUCCUGGGUUUAAUUCCCAGCACUGCCA
This 61-nucleotide transfer RNA is filed under the name Fukomys damarensis (Damara mole-rat). It matches the Rfam family "tRNA". Rfam says of the family: Transfer RNA (tRNA) molecules are approximately 80 nucleotides in length. Their secondary structure includes four short double-helical elements and three loops (D, anti-codon, and T loops). Lineage: Eukaryota; Metazoa; Chordata; Mammalia; Rodentia; Bathyergidae. The record is from Rfam by way of RNAcentral.